GACGAACGCUGGCGGCGUGCUUAACACAUGCAAGUCGAACGAAGAGCGAUGGAAGCUUGCUUCUAUCAAUCUUAGUGGCGAACGGGUGAGUAACGCGUAAUCAACCUGCCCUUCAGAGGGGGACAACAGUUGGAAACGACUGCUAAUACCGCAUACGAUCUAAUCUCGGCAUCGAGGAUAGAUGAAAGGUGGCCUCUACAUGUAAGCUAUCACUGAAGGAGGGGAUUGCGUCUGAUUAGCUAGUUGGAGGGGUAACGGCCCACCAAGGCGAUGAUCAGUAGCCGGUCUGAGAGGAUGGACGGCCACAUUGGGACUGAGACACGGCCCAGACUCCUACGGGAGGCAGCAGUGGGGAAUCUUCCGCAAUGGACGAAAGUCUGACGGAGCAACGCCGCGGGAGUGAUGACGGCCUUCGGGUUGUAAAGCUCUGUUAAUCGGGACGAAAGGCCUUCUUGCGAAUAGUGAGAAGGAUUGACGGUACCGGAAUAGAAAGCCACGGCUAACUACGUG
Molecule: ribosomal RNA, 510 nt
Filed under: uncultured bacterium
Lineage: Bacteria
Description: partial 16S ribosomal RNA
Rfam family: Bacterial small subunit ribosomal RNA
Source: RNAcentral